RNAcentral lists this long non-coding RNA (9672 nucleotides) under Panax ginseng (ginseng). Its description in RNAcentral is "long non-coding RNA (PGIN_LNC009150)". The record is from RNAcentral. Lineage: Eukaryota; Viridiplantae; Streptophyta; Magnoliopsida; Apiales; Araliaceae.
UUUGAUGCUAAAUUUGUUAAUGAAUGAUGACAACUAAGUCAUGAUCCAUAGUAAUUGAUUUGAAUUGAAUUUGUGAUACAUUAGUACUUGAAUAUGAGAAUCAUGUUUAUUUGGCUAAGUUAUUUGUGGAGUUGUCUAUGUGCACUGAUUUCAUGAUUUAAAACUGUUUAACUUGCUAAUGUUGUUGCAGAACCAUGUGGAAAAAAAAUGAUGAAUGAAAAAAAAAAGGAAAAAAAAAAGGAAAUUUUUUUUUGAAAAUCUGCUUCAAUGUCUAUUGUGCAAAAUAACUGGGUAUCUAAGCCUCGGGAAGCAUCGGUAUUCACGCUGAAAAGUGCGAUGGAUAAAAGCAGCUUGACUAGUCGACUUUUGUGGCCUUUGUUACUUGAAUAAGUAAGUCCGUAGGGGUGUCUCUACACCUAGCGCCCUAAGAUCAUCUGGUUUGGGAGUCGUCGGUGGAAAGUUCGCUAAUGGGUAACUCUGAAAAGCCUAAGAAAAGGAGACAUUGCACAUGUCAAGAAAAAAAAAUAUACGAAAAAAAAAGAAAAGAAGAAGCAUGAAAAUACAUUCAUCUGUGCUAAAAAGAAGGUUCUAUGAAAAAAAAUUAAUUAAAAAGCAAGAAAAAUUUGUUCUUGGUUGUGAGUCAGUGUGCACGGUUUUUGUUCCAUGGUAACUAAGUUGAGUAAGUAUGAUGAUUUUGGGAAAGUUACUUAUGUGGCUACAGUUUGAUUUAAUGAAAUGCAUUGGUGAAAUGGUAAGGUUGGUAAUUGUGAGUUGAUUGAUAAAGCGUUGAUUAGAUUUCUGCAACUUUAGUGUUGAUAGUCAUGAUUUGUAUCUUGAAAUCUUUUGACACUGUGGUUGAAUAGAAUUUUUCUGGAAAUCAAAUUUUUGGUUUACACGAGGACAUGUAAAAAGAUAAGUGUGGGGGAAUUUGAUGAGUAUGAAAUAUGUUAUAUUUUUAUUCCUUAAUACUUAAUCUUUUAUAUUUAUUUUGUGCCUAAAUAAACUCAUUAUUCUUAUUUUUUUAUUUUGGGUACAAUUGAUGGGCUCUGUGAAUUUGAAAAUAAUUUAAAGACAAAUUGAACGUUAUUGGACCAAGUGGGGCACGGAACUCAGCAGCCCAAUCCGUAUAUGUACUCAGUUUAUUGAAUGGGCAGCAUCAGAUUGCAUACAAAGAUGGGCCACGUGUUGGUUUUGAAUUGCAACAAGCUAGUCAUUACAUGGAGGGAGUAAUACAUAACCUGCAAAUUAUUUUCCAUCCAUUUCUAAUUGGAUGUGGGCCACGAUUGGUGGUUGUUUUCAUGCAAACUUGCAAUCCCACGUGGGCAGCAUGAAUGGAAUGGAGAUUACAUGGAUUUGUAAGAUAUUAAUCAUGUGGGCCACGUUUUCAUGCAACAAACUUGCAAAUCUUACAUUUAUUCAUGUGGGCCAUGGAUAUUAUGUGGGAUUACAUGAGAAGGAUUUAAUAUAUUUUCUAACACAAUCCUAUGUUCAACCAACUCUGCAAAACUUGUACACGGCAAUUAGCUUCUAACGGAAAUUUGGUGCAUUCACGCGGAAAGAGUUCAAUCCGAAGGUGAAUUGGAAAUUAUUCACGUGGCAAUUGAAGAAUCUGAAGACGGCUUGGGAAGUUUUACACAACAAUUGUAUUAGAUUUAGGAUUUACUUUAUACUAAGAUUUAUUUCCAAAUUGAAUUCUAUUUCUUUAUGGAAAUUAGUGUAAUUUAUAAUUUUUUUAGGAUUGGGAUUUCUACUUCCUAUAGGAUUUAUGACUUUGUCUAGCACUAUAAAUAGAGGAUGAGAGUCAUGGUUUUAUUUAUUCAAUUAUCAAUUAUCAACUAUCAUCUAUUGGAGUGAAGGCUCAAGAGCAUGUCAGGCUAGUUCUUUUCAUUCAGUUCUAAAGGGAGGUGAAUCCUUGUUACAAGUAAUUGAUUAAUUGAGUAUUAUUAUUUAUUCCUUCUUGUGUGAAAUUUCUUCUGAUAAUCUGUUUUCAUUGAUUGCAUGCUAAUUGAUCUAAUAGAUUUAAUAUGGCCAAUUGAGUUAAUUUGAUCAUUAUCAUAUGCUAGAUUAAGAUUGGUAUUACGUGUAAUUGAUAUCUCUCUUCAUCACAAGUAGCAACUUGGUAAUAAUAAUUGUGGACAAACUUUUGUUUAUUGCUAAGAUUAUUAGAAAACAAGUUAAAUAAAUCGAGCUUAUGUGUUUGUUGCUUGGAUUAGCCUAAUUUUCUAUUUCUUAAUGCUUCUAUCAUAUUAAAUCUAGAGAGCUUAUUCUAGGUUAUAUGCUAGUUAGAAUCUGGUGGAGAGCUUGUUUCAUACAGUGAUAAUCUAAGGAGAAUUUCGGAUAGCAGAGCUUAUUGUUAUCUAGGGCUAAUAAUUUCAUUGAAGGGAAAAUAAUAAUUACUUGAUUAAUUGAUUGUUGUGCUUGGUGAAACUGAACUGCAGAACUGAAGUUUUUAUAUAUUUGGUUACCUUCAUCAUUAAUUCUUAUUCUCUUAGUUUAAAAAUAAUUUUAAAAAAAAAACCCCAUCUAUAUUUUCUGUUGAAAUAGUAGACUAAUUAUAAAACAACUUUACUCUCUGUGGGAUCGAUCCUUACUUGCUACUGUGCUAAUUAUUAUAAUUGUGAAGUGAAAGUGAAGUUAAUUUAAGAGUGUCAACGACAGCUCCCAGUUCAGCAUCGUCAGCUUAUCUAGGUUAGGAAUUCUAUCAAUCUUGAGCUUUUAGCGCAGUUUGUUUCCGUAUUUUUUACUCCAGAUCUCAUUCUGUGUAAUACAGCCUAAAUUGAAAUGUAUCAAAUUAACUAAGGUCUUUUAGCUGAAAUCUGGCUAUGCUACUUUUUUGUAUUUUGGUGGUAACGACUCCUGUUUGGGUGGCAUGUUCAAUAUUAAUGAAUAUAGGAUACGAGAAGAUUCUCUAGCCAGAGUGGAAAUUGGAAAACCUAGGUCUUUUCAAGGGAUUUGCAAAUGACUUAAAUAGCUACUUGGUUUGAAGAGGUGGAUGAGGACUCGCACCUAUUUGCUUGAUCAAAAUUUAAGGAAUUUUCCAUGUCAUAAAUAUGGAUUGUCUGGAACAUAAAAUGAGAGAUUUAUGACUCAUACACGAUCAAGAUUGGAAGAGAAAAUGCAUUUAUAUACCUCACUCGUGUUGCAUAAAUUGAGUGUACGAUAGUGAGUCUUUGAAGUGAAGUAUAAGAAGUGUUAGUCGUUGGACUUCAAGUUUGGCUUCCCUUUAACAAAAAUUCAAUUUGGAAUUUCCUUGUCCAGUUUGCUUUCUUUCUUCUCUUAUUAAUGUACCAGUUCUAACAUGGGGAAUAAAUAUGGGAGUGGCCUGUAAUAAAUAUAGUUUACUAUCAUUUGAACUUAUAUCUCUGAAAUUAUGGAAGUUUUUAUUUUGGUAAUGCAGGGUUAGCAGGACGGUGUGCACCUAGGCUGUGAUUUGACAGUUGUUAGUUCAGGAGACAAGUGCUUGCGCGAUAUUACUCCAGAGAGCACAAGGUGGUAUUUUUAGACCCGGUACAGAUGGUUAUGAGGUUGCUGUCCAAAUAUGUGAAAAUUUUUCUGAAGGCCACUUGUAGACAGGGUGAUGAAGGAGAAGUGUUUUAUUAGAUUGCACCGGAAAGUGAAUUCCCUGUUCUUGAAGUAGAAGCUGUAGAGUGCUCAUGUAAUAGCUUCUUCUAGCUAUUUAAGUCAUUUCUAAUAUUAAUGAAGAAGGUUGUGAGUUCUAAUAUUGACAGGUUUAUUAGAGAGAGCGAGCCACUCGUGUAACUAGGUCUAGAAUGGAAAUGGUUGGAAAGUAAGUGCCCUCCGAUGGAAUACAUAAUAUUAUUAUGUGGAGGUAAAGAAAUAAAGAAGGAAUUUCUUUAAAAGUAAAGGUUCUCAUUGUCAACAACAACAUUUCUUUGUUUGAUAUUUAUCUGUAGCUUUCAAAUCUCACCCCCAUAUUCUUUGUUUUCUACUUUGGUAUAUAUUCAUUUUAACACAAGAUGAAAGGAUGAUUGGCUUGCCUUUUCUUUUACGUGUAAUAUGUUCUUUGUAUACUUGUGCUUAUAUUAAUUUGACAAAUUUGCAUUAAAUAAUAUAACAGGUUUUGGGUUUCCUUUCUGCCGUUAAAGGCAGUCCAACAAUAUGGAACUUAAAGAAUGGAGGAGCAUCAUGACCUACCAACCAAAAGUCUAAUAAAACCAUUGUGCAAUUUUUAUUUUUAAAAAUAAAGUAUCAUGGACAGAACAUUAUAAAAAUAUUAAUUUAUUUUGUGUAAAUAUUAAUACCUUUUUUUUAUAAUAUUAACUUUAUUCUUCUGAUGAAGGUCAUGGCUACAUCUAGAUAAGUAGAUAACUGGCCCAUCACAAAGUAUUCCUCAAUCCUCAUAGGAGUGGGAUCAUAUAAUCUAAAGGCAAGGUUAAUAUCACACAUUUUUAUUACUUAUGCCAAUUUUAAAAUUUAAUUUAUCAAAAGUCAAUUUUAAAAUGAAUAGAAUAUUAUUUUAUUAUUAGGAACAAACAAACAAACGAAGUAUUAUCUAUUUUUAAGGUAAUUAUUAUUACAAAAAAUGUAUAUGACCACGACAAAAAUGUUCCAUCACCUCACCGUCAGCUUCCUCCAAAUACUUUACUCACCAAGUUGAAGCUACAUUUUUUUUUGUUUUUUAAUUUUAAUUUCUUAGACAUUUCCCUAAGGACCACCAAUAAUGUAAAGCAGAAAAUACAUUUAUAGUAACUACACAUCCCAAGGGACAACAAAUGAAAAUAUUAUCUAUCAAUAAAGAUAGGAGAUAGAAAAGAAAAAGUGUUUAUUAAGAUAAAAAAAUUUAAUACAAAAAUGAUUUUUUCAAAAAGAUUUAAAAACAAUAUCAAAAAUAAUACUCCCUCCGUUCCUAAAAGAUUAACGUUUUAGAAAAAAAAAAUUGUUCUAAUUUAUUUGUCGUUUACAACUUUUUAGGAGAAUAAAUUAUAUAUUUUCCUAUAUCACCCUUACCUUCUCUCAUUGUCCCACAAAGUUUUCUCCCUUGUAUUAAUAGUUUUCAACUUUUCAUAAAUGGGUAGUGAUGAAAUUUCAAAUAAAUUUUAAUUGUUAAAUGAUAGUAUUAAAUAAUUUUCUUAAUCCACGUGUAAAAACUUUAAAUGACAAUCUUUUAAGAUCGGAAGUCAUUUAACAAUCUUUUGCCAAAUGCCCUCCGAUCAAAAACAUAAUUUUUUUUCUUUUAAAAGUACUAUAUUUUAGACAAAAUCUCUACUCGUUAAAAAUAUUUUUGCCGGUCGGUCAUCAAACAUUAAUAUUUUCAAAUUUAAUUUAAAAAAUCGGUUUUGCAACGUACUGCUCCGCCAAAGGGGAUUCUAUAUGGUAAAUACUAGUAUUUAAAACUGCUUUCAUUUACUUUUUUAGAAUUUCUAUCCAUGGCUUCGCUGUAGUUUUAUCCAAAUAUUAUAUUUAAUUCGUUUUAAAAUAUAAGAUUAUUAUUAAUUUUUUAAAAUCAAGUUAAAAUAUUUUUAAAUUUAAAAUUAAUAUAAAUUUAUUUAAUUUUAAUUCGUACAAUAAUGAUAUUAUAAAUUAUUUAAAAAUAUUACUCAUUGUAAUAUAUAUUAUUUAAUAAAUUAUGUUAAUUUUAAAGUAAAAAUAUUUUAAAUUUAAUUUUUAAAAGUCGAUAAUAUAAUAUUAUAAUUUGAAAUCGAGGAACUAGUCUUUGGAGUAAUUAUUUUGAAAAAGAUUAGUGUUGAGGAAAUAAAAUUACAAUCCCAACAAACUCAAAAAAAAACAGUUAUGGAUGACAUAUCUUGAUAUCCAUAUAUAAUUAAUAUUUACAGAAAGUAACAAAAGCUUUGGCUCAAGUCAUCUUACGUUUGCUAUUAUUAUAUCCCCCACACCCAUCCCCACUCCCACUCCCACUCCCGUACUAACUUUCCUCACUUUAAUACAGAUUCUCUCUCUGAAACAACAAAUAAAGAAGGGGUAGAGAAAUCCAAACUCAAAGCCACUUGCUGUUUCCACAUAAACCACCUCCAAAAACCACCACAAUCUUCUGAUCAAUUUGUUGAAAAACCCUUUAUUUAAUUUUGUCUCUCAUCGUUUCUUCCAUUUUGGGGGUCCAAUUUCAACCUUCUUUAAUCAAAUGGCAAUGGGUAUGUGUCAAUAGAGUUUUUAUAAAUAUAUAUUUGUACAGAGAGAAUUCUUUCAGAUUAUACCCAAAGAUCACCCCCAAAUCUGAAUAAAUUUUUGUCUUUCAUAUCUUUAAAGAUUUUAAUAUAAAGAGAGCUGCUUUAUAUCAUCAGGGGUUAGUUUUAUUUAUAAAAAUUCAGUGUUUUUGUGUUGGGUUUGGGGGUUUGAUUCCAUGGCCGCUGGUGUAGAAAUGACUGGUGAGGCAGUUGUGGCAGCUACUGUAGCUGUUCAUUCUUCACCAAACACCGAAACUGCUAAUAAUUCUGCUAAAAAUGGUAUACCUGUGUCUAAUGAUGCUAAGGAAUCCGAUUCCAAAUCGGAAUUUCAAAUGCAAGACAUAGUUGAUAUGUUAUCCAAGUUGAAGCUGAAUCCGAUGGCGAAAGAAUUCUUUCCUUCGUCCUACUCAAAUGAUCUCAAUCAUGAUCAGUUUGCAGUGAGCUAUUUUGUGCCAAUUGAUAAGAAUUUGGGUAGUGAUGGUUACCCAAAUAGAAGGGUAUGAUUUAAUAAUACAUUUUAUUCAAUUUUACCAUGUUUAUUAUGGGUUUGGGUUAUCUUGUCAUUUUACAUGUCACCUUUCGGCUAGCCCUUUGUUUAGGAUUGUAGUUUUUAAAGGUUAUGUAAUCUCAGUAAUUCCAUAUUUGAUGCUAUUAAAUUGAAUUGUCAUGUUUCUGUUGUAGAUUAAUGUGGGUUUUGAUUCCUUUUUGUGGUUGGAUUAAUUUUGUUGAGGUCCUAAUCUGGCAUUCACAUUGUACUAAUUGUUCAAUGUGAUAGGAAAUGUGGUUUUAAACUGAGGUAUUUGUAUCCUGGAAAAGAAAGGAUUCUUGACAUUUAGUUUGUCCACUCGAGAAUUUUAAUUUGCUUCCUUGUACAGGUUCAGCUUUAGAAAAUUGGUGUUGUUUUUUAAUUUAUUUUUGUAAGGUUUUGAUUUCAAAAAGGGUACUUCAAAAUGAAAAGAUUUAGAGUUUGUCCAAAAAAGAUGUGUCCUGUCGAUUUGUUAUUAACAAAUAUAAUUCCACUUGAUUUUUAAAGAUGGCACUUAUGUUCCUCUUAGUCCUUUAUUAACAGGAAAUCAUGAUGAAGUUACCAUUUCAUAGUAAUCCAAUUGAGAUUUUUUAUUUGCUUCUGGGUACACAUUUGGGUUUAGAAUUUGGUUUGUUGUUUCGUCCUUAAGUUUUCCAAAGUGCAUUUUGUUGUUUUUCGAUUUCGUUAGUGUAGGGUUUUGAUCUAUGCUGCAUCACCAUUUUCUGGUACCAUUGCCAUUCCUUAAAGAUUGGAUUUUGAUUCUGAAAUUGUAGCUUAUUUAGGAUGUUUAAAUUGAGGUAAUAUUGUUUUCAUCUGUGAUUUGAACUUUUGUACAUGGUGAUUCAAUGUUCAUAUUCAAUUUUUCACUGCAAGUGUCUCUUAUUGUCAUUUGAAUUAGAUUUUUCGACUGCCGUUAUGCUUUUGUGGCAGAACAUUCACUUUUGGAAGACUUUUGUUGUUUUAUCGAUUUUCUGCAUAACUAAUACUUAAUACUUAGUUUGAUUCUUUAUCUAACCGCAUGCAUUUAUAUUGUCAGUAGAUUGCUUUCCACAUUCAUUUUGUUGGUUUCGCUGGAUUUCGCCUUUGAAUUGAUCAUCAAUUCCUUUGUACUUAUCUUUUUAAAAAUAAAGAUUUAUUUUUUGCGUUUGUGUCAUGCUAGACUGUAAUUUUGUGUCAUUGUGCUCUCUCUUCCUCUUUUUUUUAUGUAACCUGUUUCUUGGUAAUAAAAUAGAUAUUUACUAUUUGUUAUUGUGUUAAUUAAAUUAAAAAGUAUAUAUUGAUGUCACUGGAAUAUGAUGUCACUGGAAUUAUCCCCGAGGAUGAUAUUGAUGCCAAAUUUUGUAGAAAAAUUAGUAUUUUAUCCUGUUUUAAAUUACUGCGUAUGAAAUUGAUGGUGAAAUUCAAUACCAAGUCCUUUUUUUGCUUUAAAUUGUUUAAGCUGGUGUACUAUCAUUCCCUCUGUCAAUCUAACUACUAAACCUUAUCAUACUCUCCUCCCUAACCCAUUCUACCCAAUCCCUUUACCAUCUCAAUAAAACCCCCAUAGAUUUGAGCCCUCUGCCGCCGCCGUCUGUCCUGCUCCACAACUCCUCCGCCAUUACCACCUCGCGCUUCAAACUUCCGNNNNNNNNNNNNNNNNNNNNNNNNNNNNNNNNNNNNNNNNNNNNNNNNNNNNNNNNNNNNNNNNNNNNNNNNNNNNNNNNNNNNNNNNNNNNNNNNNNNNGCCUUCAGAAAAAUAAAGAUUUAGUUUUUGUGUUUGUGUCACGCUAGACUGUAAUUUUGUGUCUUUGUGCUCUCUCUUCCUUUUUUUGAUGUAACCUGUUUCUUGGUAAUAAAAUGACUACUGAAAACAAAAUAGAUACCUUCAUAUAGUAUAUUUAAUCUUAUGGUUGACAAUGUGAUUAUCUUAUAUAUUCUGUUUAUUCAUACUUUCUGAAAUUUGAAUUUUCUUUCCUUGACAGAGGAGAAAUAACCUUAACCAGGGGAGGAGGCGGUUGAAUGGGAGAGCUUUUAGAGCUCAAAGAGAAGAUAGUAUUCGACGAACAGUUUAUGUUUCUGACAUCGAUCAUAAUGUAAGUAAGAAUAAACAGAUCAUUAGCAUUGAUUAGUCCUUUUAAUUUUGUGGCCUUUGAGAAUUUGCAUUAAUAUUACCCUUUGACCUCUCCAUAUUAGGUGACUGAAGAGCAGCUUGCUGCUUUAUUUAGUGGAUAUGGACAAGUAAGUCAUUUUGGUUAUUUUGAAAUUAGUUUGAUUCAUUCUGCUGGAUGCUCAAGUUAUUAUUUAGUUUUUGGGUAGGUCAAAACCUGCUACUUUAUUUUCACUUGGACAAGUAAAAGGUGUACACUAUCUGUUCGUAGUAUUUAUUCUUCAUAAAUGAAAUUGAUAGAGUAGCCUUCUCUAUUUAGUCGUAUGUUGCUCCGUAACCAAACAAAUAAAAGGGAUAUAUAUGACUAUAAGAUAUAUUUUAAGGUUUAUCGAAGAGUUCUCACAUGUAAGAGGAUAUAUAUAUAUAUAUAUAUAUAUAUAUAUAUAUAUAUAUAUAUAACUAUGGGAUAUAUUGUAGAGGCAAAGUGACAGGAAGGAUGAGCAUGAGAGCAUUAAUUCUUGUAGAAGUGGAGCAUCUAUAGAUUGGAUUCUUACCACUGUGCAACUCUAUCUAGCUAUACAAAUGAUACGAUAUCACAUGUAUGUCACACUCAGGUGUGCUUAAUGCCAGGGGAUAUAUAAUAUAACAAGCAUUCUGCUUCACUCACCUAUGUUUGAUUCAACCCCAUGGGUACCACCCUGUAUUCAUUCGAGUGUGGGACUGUAGGCUGAGAGAUUAGCCAACAUAAAAUGCAAAUGAAUGAACUUAAUUAGCAGGGUACUUGGCUCUUCAGGAUUGGCCAAGGCUAGAUGAGCUUGGCUUGAUCUUGUUCUUGGCUUGCCCUUGUUAAUUUGAGCUUCAGUUAAAAGCCUGUACUAUAAAUACUUACCCAUAUUGCAGAUGACAUAUAAGAUCAA